This 508-nucleotide ribosomal RNA is filed under the name uncultured bacterium. RNAcentral's name for it is "partial 16S ribosomal RNA". It matches the Rfam family "Bacterial small subunit ribosomal RNA", at positions 30 to 523 of the family's 1533-position model. The record is from RNAcentral.
AUUGAACGCUGGCGGCAUGCCUUACACAUGCAAGUCGAACGGCAGCGGGGGAGAAGCUUGCUUUUCCUGCCGGCGAGUGGCGAACGGGUGAGUAAUACAUCGGAACGUGCCCUGUAGUGGGGGAUAACUAGUCGAAAGAUUAGCUAAUACCGCAUACGACCUGAGGGUGAAAGUGGGGGACCGCAAGGCCUCAUGCUAUAGGAGCGGCCGAUGUCUGAUUAGCUAGUUGGUGGGGUAAAGGCUCACCAAGCCAACGAUCUGUAGCUGGUCUGAGAGGACGACCAGCCACACUGGGACUGAGACACGGCCCAGACUCCUACGGGAGGCAGCAGUGGGGAAUUUUGGACAAUGGGCGAAAGCCUGAUCCAGCAAUGCCGCGUGCAGGAAGAAGGCCUUCGGGUUGUAAACUGCUUUUGUACGGAGCGAAAAGGUCUCCUCUAAUACAGGGGGCUCAUGACGGUACCGUAAGAAUAAGCACCGGCUAACUACGUGCCAGCCGCCGCGGUAA